Molecule: ribosomal RNA, 301 nt
Filed under: uncultured bacterium
Lineage: Bacteria
Description: partial 16S ribosomal RNA
Rfam family: Bacterial small subunit ribosomal RNA
Source: RNAcentral
CAGCAGCCGCGGGAAUACGGAGGGUGCAAGCGUUAAUCGGAAUUACUGGGCGUAAAGCGCACGCAGGCGGUCUGACAAGUCAGAUGUGAAAUCCCCGGGCUUAACCUGGGAACUGCAUUUGAAACUGUCAGGCUGGAGUCUUGUAGAGGGGGGUGGAAUUCCAGGUGUAGCGGUGAAAUGCGUAGAGAUCUGGAGGAAUACCGGUGGCGAAGGCGGCCCCCUGGACAAAGACUGACGCUCAGGUGCGAAAGCGUGGGGAGCAAACAGGAUUAGAUACCCUUGUAGUCCCUGUCUCUUAUAC